RNAcentral lists this ribosomal RNA (254 nucleotides) under uncultured bacterium. Its description in RNAcentral is "partial 16S ribosomal RNA". It matches the Rfam family "Bacterial small subunit ribosomal RNA", at positions 524 to 776 of the family's 1533-position model. The record is from RNAcentral.
UACGGAGGGUGCAAGCGUUGUUCGGAAUCACUGGGCGUAAAGCGCGUGUAGGCGGCUUGGCAAGUCAGAUGUGAAACCCUCAGGCUUAACCUGGGGCCGCCAUCUGAUACUGCUAUGGCUAGAGUCCGGUAGGGGAUCGUGGAAUUCCUGGAGUAGCGGUGAAAUGCACAGAUCUCAGGAGGAACACCAGUGGCGAAGGCGGCGAUCUGGGCCGGUACUGACGCUGAGGAGCGAAAGCGUGGGGAGCAAACAGG